UGGGGAAUAUUGGACAAUGGGCGCAAGCCUGAUCCAGCAAUGCCGCGUGAGUGAUGAAGGCCUUAGGGUUGUAAAGCUCUUUCGCACGCGACGAUGAUGACGGUAGCGUGAGAAGAAGCCCCGGCUAACUUCGUGCCAGCAGCCGCGGUAAUACGAAGGGGGCGAGCGUUGUUCGGAAUUACUGGGCGUAAAGGGCGCGCAGGCGGCCAUAGAAGUCAGGCGUGAAAGCCCCGGGCUUAACCUGGGAAAUGCGUUUGAGACUCUAAGGCUUGAGUUCGGGAGAGGUGAGUGGAAUUCCCAGUGUAGAGGUGAAAUUCGUAGAUAUUGGGAAGAACACCGGUGGCGAAGGCGGCUCACUGGACCGAUACUGACGCUGAGGCGCGAAAGCGUGGGGAGCAAACAGGAUUAGAUACCCCUGUAGUCC
This 424-nucleotide ribosomal RNA is filed under the name uncultured bacterium. RNAcentral describes it as "bacterial SSU rRNA". It matches the Rfam family "Bacterial small subunit ribosomal RNA", at positions 355 to 796 of the family's 1533-position model. The record is from RNAcentral.